CCCCCCGUAGCUCAAUUGGUAGAGCAGGUGGCUCUUAACCACAAGGUUGAAGGUUCGAGUCCUUCCGGGGGGA
Molecule: transfer RNA, 73 nt
Filed under: Pseudomonadota bacterium
Lineage: Bacteria; Pseudomonadati; Pseudomonadota
Also listed under: 1 other name
Description: tRNA-Lys
Rfam family: tRNA
About the family: Transfer RNA (tRNA) molecules are approximately 80 nucleotides in length. Their secondary structure includes four short double-helical elements and three loops (D, anti-codon, and T loops).
Source: RNAcentral